This 99-nucleotide small RNA is filed under the name Arabidopsis thaliana (thale cress). RNAcentral describes it as "ATSL127420". The record is from RNAcentral. Lineage: Eukaryota; Viridiplantae; Streptophyta; Magnoliopsida; Brassicales; Brassicaceae.
GCUUUCUCUCUCCUCCUCCGUUGUUGUUGUUGUUGUUGUCAUCUUCUUCUUGUUCUUCUCUCACCAUUUUCUCUCUGUCUCUUUCUCUCUCUUCUGGUG